RNA transcript from Manis pentadactyla (Chinese pangolin), 1731 nucleotides. RefSeq lists it as uncharacterized. Lineage: Eukaryota; Metazoa; Chordata; Mammalia; Pholidota; Manidae. The record is from RefSeq and is a predicted model, not a curated record. The transcript is spliced from 5 exons.
CCUAUGGCACACUCUGAUUACUUCAGUGGAAGGAGCCUGCUCCCCAACACCACGCUAUGGGGCUGGAUUGCCCCCACCAUGUCAUCUGCUCAGGUUUCCAAAUUUGAGGCCAGACUUGGCUGCUUACAGCUCCAGGAAGGGCUGAAGAGGACCCAGUGAGGCAGGUAUUGCUGACUCCACUUCAUAGAUGCGGAAAAGGAGGCUCCGGGAGGUUAAGUGACUUGCCUCGGGUUACAGAGCUGAAAAUGCCUGCAUGGGUCAGCUCCCACCCCCCAACUCCAGUCAUUGGAUCCAUUCCCUGGACCCCAGUACCAGUCAGUGGAGUGGAGCAGAAUCAGAAGUGGACACUCAAUCAACUCCCAAAACAGAUCCCCAGCCCCCAGCGCCUUCUGGCUUGCCUUGAAAUCAGCCCCCUCCGAGGUCCCCGCUCUCUCACCAUGUCUCCCAGCGGCUCGGGCCUGUGGGCAGCAGCACUGGCCCAGACGGCUUCCUCCGGGCGGCCCGGGCUCACUUCCUGCUCGCUCCCGCCGUCGGCCUGCCCCCGCCCACCUCGCGUCCCAGCCGCGCCUGCCGCACCUCCCGGAGGUUCCCCCAGGUAGGCGGCACCGCCGCGGCCAACGCCGUCUCCUCCUAAGCCCGGGCUUAGGCAGAAAGCAACAGGGUUUCCCGGCACCGAAGGCCUUCUACCUCCUCAGGAACAAGAAAGCAAAGAUCAAACAGCCCUCCAGGGUUCCUGAGGCUGGACCUCCUGAUACAGAACAGGCUUCCAGCGACUUUUUUUAUGUCCCGAAUGUCUGAGCCCAAUUCUCGGAAACGGAAAUCAACCAUAAGCACGCGGCCAGGCCUACUUGUUGGGGAAACAGAGUGCAGGUGCUAAUGCUGACCUCAGGACCGCGGUGAGGAGGAAAAGGAGAGCACAUGCUUUGUGUCUAGCACAGUGCCUGGAAUGAAGGGUAGUCCACUGUGCAAUCAGGACAUAUGACUCACCAACAUCUCCUGUCCUCCCAGAGCUCAACCAUCCUGCAUUUCCCCUCAGGGGCCCCUACGGGGUAUGGUGAGCCCUCAGAAAUGUCAAAGCACUGCCCUAUAGAACAGAGAGAGGGGGGCCCAGGGCAAAAGAAUUUUCCAACUUGGCUCCAGGCCAGAGAAAAUCCACUCUUCCUGGAUGGUGUUUAUCAUGACAGAAGGACAAUAACAGGGAUAUGCAGAAGGGAACAAAUAUUCCUGUCCCAUCCCAGAAGAAGUAACAGUUCCAAGGGGGAAACGUCAGCUUCUUUAACAAAUACUUUUUUUAAAAGAUCUAAUAAAUUUUGGACCCCUGUAGCAUUUUGAGAGACUUUAUUCUAAUUUAUAAUGAAAUCUUUUCCCCAAUUAGAUGAGAUUAUUAUUUUUACAGACCUGAAUUUUGGUGGAUGGUAACAGCCUGCUUUCACAGAGAAUGUGGCUGCCCCAAUUCUCACUACCCUUAGAAAGACUACAAAGUGGCCAAGUGGAGGUGGGUCAGAAUACUUGAUCUAUACUUGUGCUAAUAUAGUAACCACUGACCACAUGUGGCUGUUGAGCACCUGACGUAUGUCUAGUCUGAAUUGAGAUGUUGGAGUAAAAUAUACACUGGAUUUCAAAAACUUACUAUGAAAAAAGGAUAUAAAUAUCUCAUUAGUAAGUUUAUAUAUUGAUGACAUGUUGAAAUAAUAUUUUGAAUAUAUUGAGUUAAAUAAAAAAUAUUGACAG